This 238-nucleotide ribosomal RNA is filed under the name uncultured bacterium. RNAcentral's name for it is "partial 16S ribosomal RNA". It matches the Rfam family "Bacterial small subunit ribosomal RNA", at positions 1202 to 1436 of the family's 1533-position model. The record is from RNAcentral.
UUACGGCCAGGGCUACACACGUACUACAAUGGUCGGUACAGAGGGCAGCGAGACCGUCGAGGUGGAGCCAAUCCCAGAAAACCGAUCUCAGUCCGGAUUGGAGUCUGCAACUCGACUCCAUGAAGUCGGGAAUCGCUAGUAAUCGCGGAUCAGCCAUGCCGCGGUGAAUACGUUCCCGGGCCUUGUACACACCGCCCGUCACACCAUGGGAGUGGGCUGCACCAGAAGCCGGUAGUCU